Molecule: ribosomal RNA, 497 nt
Filed under: uncultured bacterium
Lineage: Bacteria
Description: partial 16S ribosomal RNA
Rfam family: Bacterial small subunit ribosomal RNA
Source: RNAcentral
GACGAACGCUGGCGGCGUGCCUAAUACAUGCAAGUCGAGCGAACAGAUGCGGAGCUUGCUGCUCUCACGUUUGCGGAGCACGGGUGAGAAACGCGUGGAUACCCUCCCUAUCAGACUGGGAUAUCUUCGGGAAACGGGCGAAUAUCCCGGAUAAUAUCUUGAACCGCAGGGGUCAAUGGUGAGAGACGGCGUUGCUGUAUCUAAUAGAUGGAUCCCCGCCGCAUUAGCUAGUUGGUACGGUAACGGCUUACCAAGGCAACCAUGCGUAGCCGACCUGUGAGGGUGAUCGGCCACACGGGAACUGAGACACGGUCCAGACUCCUACGGUAGGCAGCAGUAGGGAAUCUUCCGCAAUGGGCGAAAGCCUGACGGAGCGACGCCGAGUGAGUGAUGAAGGUCUUCGGAGCGUAAAACUCUGUUAUUAGGGAAGAACAAAUGUGGAAGUAACUAUGCACGUCUUGACGGUACCUAAUCAAAAAGCCACGGCUAACUACGUG